Molecule: ribosomal RNA, 442 nt
Filed under: uncultured bacterium
Lineage: Bacteria
Description: partial 16S ribosomal RNA
Rfam family: Bacterial small subunit ribosomal RNA
Source: RNAcentral
CCUACGGGCGGCAGCAGUGGGGAAUAUUGGGCAAUGGACGCAAGUCUGACCCAGCAACGCCGCGUGAAGGAAGAAGGCUUUCGGGUUGUAACCUUCUUUUAAGGGGGAAGCGCAGAAGACGGUACCCCUUGAAUAAGCCCCGGCUACCUACGUGCCAGCAGCCGCGGUAAUACGGAGGUGGCAAGCGUUGUCCGGAUUUAUUGGGUGUAAAGGGCGUGCAGGCGGAGAUACAAGUCAGAUGUGAAGUCCACGGGCUCAACGCGUGAACUGCAUUUGAAACUGUUUCCCUUGAGUGUCGGAGAGGGAAUCGGAAUUCCUUGUGUAGCGGGGAAAUGCGGAGAUAUAAGGAAGAACACCAGUGGUGAAGGCGGAUUACUGGACGAUAACUGACGGUGAGGCGCGAAAGCGUGGGGAGCAAACAGGAUUAGAUACCCUGGUAGUC